UGUGGCUCAGUGGUAGAGCACUCGCCUUGCAUGUGUGAAGCCCUGGGUUCAAGCCUAAGCA
This 61-nucleotide transfer RNA is filed under the name Ictidomys tridecemlineatus (thirteen-lined ground squirrel). RNAcentral describes it as "Spermophilus tridecemlineatus (thirteen-lined ground squirrel) tRNA". It matches the Rfam family "tRNA", at positions 6 to 65 of the family's 71-position model. Rfam says of the family: Transfer RNA (tRNA) molecules are approximately 80 nucleotides in length. Their secondary structure includes four short double-helical elements and three loops (D, anti-codon, and T loops). Further hydrogen bonds mediate the characteristic L-shaped molecular structure. tRNAs have two regions of fundamental functional importance: the anti-codon, which is responsible for specific mRNA codon recognition, and the 3' end, to which the tRNAs corresponding amino acid is attached (by aminoacyl-tRNA synthetases). tRNAs cope with the degeneracy of the genetic code in two manners: having more than one tRNA (with a specific anti-codon) for a particular amino acid; and 'wobble' base-pairing, i.e. permitting non-standard base-pairing at the 3rd anti-codon position. The record is from Rfam by way of RNAcentral. Lineage: Eukaryota; Metazoa; Chordata; Mammalia; Rodentia; Sciuridae.